UCUAGGCCCCGUCAGGAGCCCGAGUUGUAAUUUGGAGAGGACACUUCGGGCUGGGAAUUGCCCUUCAGUAACGGCGAGUGAAGCGGCAAAAAGCUCAAAUUUGAAAUCUGGCCCCGUCAGGAGCCCGAGUUGUAAUUUGGAGAGGACACUUCGGGUGUGGCCGCGGCGUAAGUCCCUUGGAACAGGGCGUCAUAGAGGGUGAGAAUCCCGUCUUGCGCCGCCGGACCACGCCCAUGCGAAGUUCCUUCGACGAGUCGAGUUGUUUGGGAAUGCAGCUCUAAGUGGGUGGUAAAUUUCAUCUAAAGCUAAAUAUUGGCCAGAGACCGAUAGCGAACAAGUAGAGUGAUCGAAAGGUUAAAAGCACCUUGAAAAGGGAGUUAAAUAGCACGUGAAAUUGUUGAAAGGGAAGCGCUUGCAACCAGACUCGGUCGCGGGGGCUCAGCGGGUAUGCUUGCCCGUGUACUCCCCCGCGUUCGGGCCAGCAUCGGUUCCGGCGGUUGGUCAAAGGCCCCUGGAAUGUGUCGUCCUCCGGGACGUCUUAUAGCCAGGGGCGCAAUGCUGCCA
This 564-nucleotide ribosomal RNA is filed under the name Keratinophyton terreum. RNAcentral's name for it is "eukaryotic LSU rRNA". It matches the Rfam family "Eukaryotic large subunit ribosomal RNA", at positions 1 to 581 of the family's 3401-position model. Lineage: Eukaryota; Fungi; Ascomycota; Eurotiomycetes; Onygenales; Onygenaceae. The record is from RNAcentral.